UUCAAUGCCGGAAGUUCAGCAACCUCCACGCCGCUGAGCAGCGAUCUUUCACCUACACCGGCGUUCAGGAUUAUUUUCCAGAAUUGUUUUUUGUUUUUUUGGUCGUCUGAAAAGCUGCCUCUUUCGCUCAAUGGAAAACAAGGACUUUGUUUCAGCUUUUAAGCUUUAGGUAAACUUGAUGGGUAGUCAACAAACGUGUGUAAAUGUGGCGUAAUAAUUAGGGAAAUUGCUUCUUCCGGUUGCCCUUUGUGGCACUGUCCUGAGUGAUGACUGAAGGGGGAGCUUCCAAUCUACUCCCUGACGGCCUCCUCUCCAGAUAGCUGGACCUAGCUGAAUAAGAAAGCUAACUGAGCCUGAGCCACAGUGAGCCAGUAAGCAGUUUUCUUCUAUGGUGUCGACUUCAGCUCCUGCUGACUUCCCUUAUUUAGGAGUAUGAGCCACGUAAGCCCUUUCCUCCCCCAAGUUGCUUUUGGUCAGUCUUAACACAGUUAAAAGAUGGGUUUGUGUGUCAAUUUAAUACAAACUAGAGUCAUCAGGGAGGAGCCUCCUGGAGAUCCAACUAUAAGGCAUUUUCUCAACUAGUGAUCAAUAGGGAAGGGUCCACCCAUUAGAGGUGGUGCCAUCCCUGGGCUGAUGGUCCUGGGUUCUACAAGAAAGCAGGCUGAGCAAGCCAGUAAGCACCCCUCCAUGGCCUCUGCAUCAGCUCCUGCCUCCAGAAUCCUGCCCUGCUUGGGUUCCUGUCCUGACUUUCUUUCGGUGAUGAACAGCAAUGUGGAAGUGUAAGCUGAAUAAACCCUUUCUACCCAGCAUGCUUUUUGGUCAUGGUGUUUUGCUGCAGCAAUAGAAACCCUAACUAAGACACGGCAGAAGAAUGAAGGCAAAAAAAAAAAAAAGAAGAAGAAGAAGAAUGAAGGCAGAAUGCUAUAUGUUGAUAGUGCUGUUGGAGUAACUUUGAAAGCAAUCAACAGUACAUACUUAAGGUCUAUUAAUUUGAAAUGUUUACACAUAAAUAAAUGCCAGCAAAACCAGUAAUCCAAUCAAGACAAUGAACGUAUGCAGACUCUCAAGCAUUUAUAUACAGAAUGUAGAAAUCUGAAAGUGUCCAGGGCUCCUUCUGCCCUCCAUGGCUCCCUAACACGGCGUUUGGCAGCAGCUGGUCAGCUUUCUGUCGCUAAGAAACCAUUUGUAUUUUAGAAAUUUUUGUGUUGAUGAAAUCUGACUAUGUGCUCCUUCACUAUUCAACUUAACUAUUUUGAGAUUCAGUCACAUAGAUACUAAAGAAAGAACUCCACUGUAUGGAAAUGUAGGGAAAAAUGCAGGCACGGCCUGGCAACCAGCCCACGUGACACACUGCACUUCUAAAUAAGAGGUAUGCUAUGCCCAGUGCCAGAGCACUGAAUUCUGAAAGGGUGCGAGUAGCGGGUUGCUGGCCUGUGAAGAAUCUGCAUCUCCACGGUUCCUUUAAUGGGCUGCUUCUGCAUGGGAGUGCUCACUCUCCAAUCUGAGGUAGAAGACGGAACUUGGGACCUUGAGGGUGCUACGUGGGCACUGAGCUGCAUCCCCAACAAUUUUCAUUCUUAUAAUAGUGUUUUGAAAAGAAUUGUUUGGGAUAAAGUCCCAUUUAUUCAUUUUUGUGCUUCAUCGAUUUUGCUAUUAAUUUUCCAUCUAAAAAAUCUUCACCAGAAUAAAGGCCAUGCAAAUUUUCUCCUGUUUUUAUGGUUUACAUUUAGGUUUACGAUGUUAUUUUCAAUUGAGGUUGUGUAUGUUGAAGGCUUGGAACACAGUCUAUUUCUUGGAAAAUGGCUGUUUAUUGCUUCAGUACCAUUUGUUGAAUGAAUUCCCUACUAAAUCCCAUCUUCAUCUUCA
This is a long non-coding RNA of Meriones unguiculatus (Mongolian gerbil), 1866 nucleotides long. RefSeq lists it as uncharacterized. NCBI's taxonomy places the organism in Eukaryota, Metazoa, Chordata, Mammalia, Rodentia, Muridae. The record is from RefSeq and is a predicted model, not a curated record. The transcript has 2 exons.